UACGUAGGGUGCGAGCGUUGUCCGGAAUUACUGGGUGUAAAGAGCUCGUAGGUGGUUUGUCGCGUUGUUCGUGAAAACUCACAGCUUAACUGUGGGCGUGCGGGCGAUACGGGCAGACUGGAGUACUGCAGGGGAGACUGGAAUUCCUGGUGUAGCGGUGGAAUGCGCAGAUAUCAGGAGGAACACCGGUGGCGAAGGCGGAUCUCUGGGCCAUUACUGACGCUGAGGAGCGAAAGCGUGGGAGCGAACAGG
Molecule: ribosomal RNA, 252 nt
Filed under: uncultured bacterium
Lineage: Bacteria
Description: partial 16S ribosomal RNA
Rfam family: Bacterial small subunit ribosomal RNA
Source: RNAcentral